This 2018-nucleotide long non-coding RNA is filed under the name Nicotiana benthamiana. RNAcentral describes it as "long non-coding RNA (NBEN_LNC029519)". The record is from RNAcentral. Lineage: Eukaryota; Viridiplantae; Streptophyta; Magnoliopsida; Solanales; Solanaceae.
GAUAAACCUCUACUCCGACUACGACUCCGGCUCCUGCUCUGGCUGGGACUGCAUCUUUUUGGACUUUUACUCAGACGUUUUGGGCGCUGCAAUUAACCAGUUGAGAAUAAAACAAAGAAAUGUAGCCAAAGAAAGAGAAAUUCCAAUUUUAAAAGGCCAGGUAUGCAAAAAACAAUGACGUAGUAAGACAAGACGGAUGAUCCCGACAUGUUUGAUUUUGAGGUAUCCAGUUCACUUCCAAAACAGAGAUUUAACUUACAGAUGGUGCUGGCGAUCUGGACCUUGCUGGAGAUCUGCAAAAUUUCCAGAAAGAACUUAAUUUAAUAUCCCAGUCCUGCCACUUAACAAUUCCUCCAACUGCCUCGAUUCCACUUCCACAUCAGCAUGACCAUUAUCAAAGUAGCAUUGUGGGCAGAAUCCAGAGUGGAAAAUAUGACAUGUAUGAAGCAAUGCAAUUUACCCAGUUAAGACUUAAGUAAUAGUUUAAAUUUGUGCAGUCAAAGAGACCAAUAAGCAGGAUAUGAAAAGAAUGAACUAGAGUCUUUCUUCACUUUGGUAGAAAAUGCAUCUACCACAAAUAGGUGGUGAUCCAAAUUCAGGUGGCAGUUAGUUCCCCAGUCCAGCUCCACCACAGAAUCCACGAUCUUCAUGAUCCCAAUCUAGCACCCACGGAACAUUUCACGAUGCUCAUUAGAUCAGAGACAUCAUAAAGGACCCAAAGUUGCCAUCUAGAAAACAUCGUACCAAUGAAAAGAAUGAACUAGAGUCUUUCUUCACUUUGGUAGAAAAUGCAUCUACCACAAAUAGGUGGUGAUCCAAAUUCAGGUGGCAGUUAGUUCCCCAGUCCAGCUCCACCAUAGAAUCCAUGAUCUUCAUGAUCCCAAUCUAGCACCCACGGAACAUUUCACGAUGCUCAUUAGAACAGAGACAUCAUAAAGGACCCAAAGUUGCCAUCUAGAAAACAUCGUACCUCCACAACCAAAAAGAGUUGCAGGCAAGACCAUAUGCAUAUCCACUCAAGAUCCUAAAAUGCAAAUCCACAAACUGCCGCAUAUAUCCAACAUCUAUAAAAACAAACAAGGUGACUUUUCAUACUUAUAAAGGAAAUGACAAUGCAGUACGUUUUCCCUAGAACACAGUUCCAAGUUGAAUUAAAGCAAAUGAACCAACUAUCCCCUCAAAACACCUAAAAGCCUUUUAAAUUUCUUUUUUGCUCAGCCCCAAACCUUUUCAAUUUCUAGUUUUGCUUGAACAGACAUACACUAUCAUAGUGACCAGUCUCUACUGAACGGUUACACAUCGAAUUGGCAAGCAUAGUAAGAAAAUUCAGAAAUAGCAGGAAAUAAAUGAAUAUGAAUCCUAUUUUCAUAGGGGCAAGAAAAGGAAAAAGUUUAACAUAUGUAAUGUCCGUCCUCAUUUGGUUCAUUUUAAUGGUUUGAUAAUGCCAUUGCAAGUACUAAACCCCACACAAAUGUAACUAUUCAUUCCCACCAAGUAAGCAGAACUACACAUUACCAGACUAGAUUGCCCCAUGAAAUGCAACCUUUGCAAAAAAAAUGGCCUAUGGGCUACGACAACUUACCAUUCGCCCGACGUACCACCAUUUGACAAAUUACCAGAAGACUCGUACUGAUACUGAAAGGACAAUGUAACUCAACACUUAAAAUUGGAUUCGGCAGUUUUAUGCAUGACGUGCGAGACAACAGCUUCUCGCUGCUAUAUUUUUCAGAAAGACAAAAGGAGAGGCCAUUGAGAACCAGUUAACCAAAGAAGACUAGAGCAUCAAGAGUCAAUAUCAAGGUGAGUUUUUCAGUGAGCACAUCAAACUAACAGGAUAGAAGACAAAGGGCAAAGUGCAUCAAACUGCAAGAGCACUUCAGAUUCAAAGAUCUUACAUCAACGACAAUUCCAGUGUGAAAGAACUUUGAAAAUUGAAAAUAUUCUAAUCAACGAAUAAUGAAUAAAAGACUUGCAAGAAAAGGAAGGUUAGCAGAAUAUUACCUAGAGAUAGAACGUCC